This is a long non-coding RNA of Fukomys damarensis (Damara mole-rat), 324 nucleotides long. RefSeq lists it as uncharacterized. Lineage: Eukaryota; Metazoa; Chordata; Mammalia; Rodentia; Bathyergidae. The record is from RefSeq and is a predicted model, not a curated record. The transcript is spliced from 2 exons.
CCUUCAGUGUGAUGACUGGACUCUACAGGCACAGCCCAGGUUUCAUCUCUUAUCAGCAGCUUUGACUGCCCAACAACCAGCAAUGUAUUUCCACUUCCUGUUAGACAUCUCUCCUGAUUCACUCACCAAGUAUCUGUUAUAUGCUAUUGAGUGCGUUAUAUAAUGAGGAAAAACACAUCAGUAAGACCUACAAAGAUCAUCUCUGCCUUCAACUAUCAAAGCCAAGUAAACAAAAGUGUUUCAAAUAAUGUGACCACUAUGACAAUUUCCACAUGCUUUUGUCUUCUGUGCUCAGUGAAAAGCAAUCUAGAUCAGAUGAAUCAG